This 221-nucleotide unclassified non-coding RNA is filed under the name uncultured Gammaproteobacteria bacterium. RNAcentral describes it as "contains 16S-23S intergenic spacer region". Lineage: Bacteria; Pseudomonadati; Pseudomonadota; Gammaproteobacteria. The record is from RNAcentral.
UCGUUUCCGGAUCUUACUACCAGCAUGUCAAACCUGGGUAAGGUUCUUCGCGUUGCGUCGAAUUAAACCACAUGCACCACCGCUUGUGCGGGCCCCCGUCAAUUCCUUUGAGUUUCAACCUUGCGGCCGUACUCCCCAGGCGGUCAACUUCACGCGUUAGCUUCGUUACUGAGUACUAAUGCACCCAACAACCAGUUGACAUCGUUUAGGGCGUGGACUAC